UUGGAAUUAUAAAUAAUCGUUGCUUCGUUCUCGAAUGAAUAUUUCAAGUAAAAAAAAAAGGGGUAACACCAAAUAAAAAUUUAUAAUGUCCGGCAUAUCUCCGAAGUCCGCUAAAUUACUAUUAUACAAAUUAAUCAAAUCCUUACCUAUUACAAUUAGAGAAAAGUUCAAGCAGCCCAUUCAACGGUCGUGCUCGCACUCCAAGAAAGUCCGGUACACCAUCAGGGAAGACUAUGGAUGUUAUUUGUUUUCCUACACCAAAGCCACGAGCUUAAACUGGGUUUUUCCUAUACCAAAUUAAAUAAAUAAGUAAAUAAAUAUACAAAUAAUAAAAUUUAAUAAACAAAUAAAAUAUUAAAAAAUAAAAAAAUGAGAGAGAGGGCAGAUACAUAGAAUCAUUUUUUUCCACACAACAUUAAAUGAUGCAUUAAUAGCUUUGCAGUAGAAAUCAUUCUCUGACAAAAUUUUGCAAGAUACGGCACUUGCCAUCCUAAUCCUUAAUCCCUAAGUAUGCCUAACCAUUUAGGCAUAUCACUUUCUUUCACUCACCCACAUCACCAUCACACGCCUCUUUCAAUAUAUCCCACCACCCUAAUCUCCUCUUUCUCUACCGCCACUCCUCCAUAUUAGUUCAUUCACAAUAAAGUUCCACCCCCACAAGUUGCUCCGCUAAAAUCAGCAAGAAGUUUAAAAGAACAAGGUUGAUAUUCUUCUCAUCUCAAUCGAAACAAAUUCAAGAAGACGAGAGCUAAAUCAAUUGAAUUACAGAAACUGAAUCUGCAAAAUCCAGUGGGUUACUCCUUUCGGUUCUACAAUUUCACAACUAAUAUCGUGUUAUCAAGGCUAUCUCCGUGAGUUAAGGGUGGAGUCAGGGAAAUUCAAGUUAAGGAGUUUUAAGCAGUCGAGGUUGAGCAGCGAAGUGGUGGAAGAAGUGCUAUUGAGACAAGACAUUUAAUUCAGUCAGAUUUUGACUCUCGGAGGUUCAUGUCUCCAUACAUGGACUGCGUUCUUUUGUUUCCGCUGUGCCGGUAAAGAGGCAGUGUCUAUUCUACUUUUGACUCUGAUAAUCAGAACUUGUAUGAACGGUCACUCGAUUCUGCAUGAUCGAGUGUAUUUUAUUCUAAGUAUUUCCCUAUAUGAGUUUAUUA
Long non-coding RNA from Salvia splendens (bonfire salvia), 1148 nucleotides. RefSeq lists it as uncharacterized. NCBI's taxonomy places the organism in Eukaryota, Viridiplantae, Streptophyta, Magnoliopsida, Lamiales, Lamiaceae. The transcript has 3 exons. The record is from RefSeq and is a predicted model, not a curated record.